UACGAAGGGGGCUAGCGUUGUUCGGAAUUACUGGGCGUAAAGCGCGUGUAGGCGGGCGAAUAAGUCAGGGGUGAAAUGCCAAGGCUCAACCUUGGAACUGCCUUUGAUACUGUUCGUCUUGAGUCCGGGAGAGGUGAGUGGAACUGCGAGUGUAGAGGUGAAAUUCGUAGAUAUUCGCAAGAACACCAGUGGCGAAGGCGGCUCACUGGCCCGGAACUGACGCUGAGACGCGAAAGCGUGGGGAGCAAACAG
Molecule: ribosomal RNA, 252 nt
Filed under: uncultured bacterium
Lineage: Bacteria
Description: partial 16S ribosomal RNA
Rfam family: Bacterial small subunit ribosomal RNA
Source: RNAcentral